RNAcentral lists this ribosomal RNA (183 nucleotides) under uncultured bacterium. RNAcentral describes it as "partial 16S ribosomal RNA". It matches the Rfam family "Bacterial small subunit ribosomal RNA", at positions 118 to 301 of the family's 1533-position model. The record is from RNAcentral.
UGAGCAAUCUGCCCUUCUCAUCGGAAUAAGCGUUGGAGACGACGUCUAAUGCCGAAUACGACCUCCUUUCGCAUGAUCGGAGGUGGAAAGCUCCGGCGGAGAAGGAUGAGCUCGCGGCCUAUCAGCUAGUUGGUGUGGGUAAUGGCCCACCAAGGCGACGACGGGUAGCCGUCGUGAAGAGGU